RNAcentral lists this ribosomal RNA (253 nucleotides) under uncultured bacterium. Its description in RNAcentral is "partial 16S ribosomal RNA". It matches the Rfam family "Bacterial small subunit ribosomal RNA", at positions 524 to 776 of the family's 1533-position model. The record is from RNAcentral.
UACGGAGGGGGCUAGCGUUGUUCGGAAUUACUGGGCGUAAAGGGCGCGUAGGCGGUCUGUUGCGUCAGGCGUGAAAGCCCUGGGCUCAACCUGGGAGGUGCGCUUGAAACGGGCGGGCUUGAGACCGGGAGAGGAGAGUGGAAUUCCCAGUGUAGAGGUGAAAUUCGUAGAUAUUGGGAAGAACACCGGUGGCGAAGGCGGCUCUCUGGCCCGGUUCUGACGCUGAGGCGCGAAAGCGUGGGGAGCAAACAGG